AAUUGCUAGUAAUGGCAGGUCAGCAUACUGCCGUGAAUACGUUCCCGGGCCUUGUACACACCGCCCGUCACACCAUGAGAGUUGGGGAUACCCGAAGCCUGUGGGCCAACUGUAAAGAGGCAGCAGUCGAAGGUAGAAUCAAUGAUUGGGGUGAAGUCGUAACAAGGUACC
This 171-nucleotide ribosomal RNA is filed under the name uncultured bacterium. Its description in RNAcentral is "partial 16S ribosomal RNA". It matches the Rfam family "Bacterial small subunit ribosomal RNA", at positions 1330 to 1500 of the family's 1533-position model. The record is from RNAcentral.